GAAUUGCGAUAAGUAAUGUGAAUUGCAGAAUUACGUGAAUCAUCGAAUCUUUGAACGCAUAUUGCACUCCCUGGCAAUCCGGAGAGUAUGCCUGUUUGAGGGUCAGUAAAUAACAAAUUAUCACAAUCGUUGGUUGUGGAAUUGGGCCCUUAUUUCGAACAGACUUAUGGCCUUAAAUUUACGCCAUGUGCUUAAUUCGAACCAAACGGAGCAAUUAAACAUUCUCUCGUUAGACGGAUUACUCACAAGCAUUACGAUUUUUUGGACGACGAAAAGCACUCUCGCGAGCGCGAAGCCCAAGAUCGUAAAUUUAAUUGACAAAUGACCUCAAAUCAGGCAAGAAUACCCGCUGAACUUAA
RNAcentral lists this unclassified non-coding RNA (359 nucleotides) under uncultured Entrophospora. RNAcentral describes it as "uncultured Claroideoglomus sequence contains ITS1". The stretch from base 1 to 105 matches the Rfam family "5.8S ribosomal RNA", at positions 50 to 154 of the family's 154-position model. Lineage: Eukaryota; Fungi; Glomeromycota; Glomeromycetes; Entrophosporales; Entrophosporaceae. The record is from RNAcentral.